AAGAAAGCCGGAAAAGGAGGGGUUCGAACCCGACCAGAUGGGUUCGACCCGAGCGCAGCGAGGUCGCUGUCGCGUAGCGACAGUCCGAAGGACAAGGCCGCGUCAGCGGACGCAGCAAUCCCUCCCUCUCCGCCA
This 135-nucleotide small RNA is filed under the name Wenzhouxiangella sp. Its description in RNAcentral is "RtT sRNA". It matches the Rfam family "RtT RNA". From Rfam's summary of the family: This family represents a bacterial cis-regulatory element known as RtT RNA. The exact function of RtT is unknown although it is thought that it may be involved in changing the cellular response in relation to amino acid starvation. RNAcentral also lists the same sequence under 1 other name. Lineage: Bacteria; Pseudomonadati; Pseudomonadota; Gammaproteobacteria; Chromatiales; Wenzhouxiangellaceae. The record is from RNAcentral.